AGACAGCAGCAGCCGCGGUAAUACGUAGGUCCCGAGCGUUGUCCGGAUUUAUUGGGCGUAAAGGGAGCGCAGGCGGCUUAGUAAGUCUGAAGUUAAAGGCAUUGGCUCAACCAAUGUAUGCUUUGGAAACUGUUAGACUUGAGUGCAGAAGGGGAGAGUGGAAUUCCAUGUGUAGCGGUGAAACGCGUAGAUAUAUGGAGGAACACCGGUGGCGAAAGCGGCUCUCUGGUCUGUCACUGACGCUGAGGCUCGAAAGCGUGGGUAGCGAACAGGAUUAGAUACCCCCGUAGUCCCUGUCUCUUAUACA
This 307-nucleotide ribosomal RNA is filed under the name uncultured bacterium. RNAcentral describes it as "partial 16S ribosomal RNA". It matches the Rfam family "Bacterial small subunit ribosomal RNA", at positions 506 to 808 of the family's 1533-position model. The record is from RNAcentral.